RNAcentral lists this long non-coding RNA (623 nucleotides) under Homo sapiens (human). RNAcentral describes it as "non-protein coding lnc-TMEM121B-1:1". Lineage: Eukaryota; Metazoa; Chordata; Mammalia; Primates; Hominidae. The record is from RNAcentral.
GAUUGAUUUGAGCAAGCAUGUUAUGAAUAUUUAGAAAUGUCUUCUAGGGAAGCAAGCUGGCGCUCACCGAUUUUGGUUUGCCAGGCAUAUCAGAAGGCACUUUGUGACAGGUGCAGUAGGGACGCGGAGUGAUCUCUUCACGUGUAGGCAAUGCCCAGCCCACACCUAGGCCUUGCCUGAGUCUGGCCAUGCAGUUCUUGCCCUAAGGAAGAACAGGAAAAUAUAGCGCGUGGUUGACUGUCAGGCCCUCUGCCCCUUCCCUCGUCACAGCCACCUUCAGGGCUGCUUUCUCUCCAUUUUCCUGAGGCCGAGAAAGAGGAGGUAGCUGGCACAAUGCCACAUCUGCACUGCUCCAGGCAACCUUCGGUAGUCGGCUGUUGCUUGGGUCCAGCUUCCUUUCCAUGAAAGCUCAGCCAUUCUAGCAAAAAAGCAGGGGCUGUUUUCAUCUUCUGAGAGAAUCCCAUGACACUGGUGAGCAGAGGCGGCCAGUGGGACACCCGUGCAGGGAAGCAGGCAAAUGCAGGGACCAGCCACCCGCAUCCCUCCUUUCUACUCCCUCUCCUCCUCCUACCUGGUCACUGUGUACCUUCUUCCUGUCUCAUCAGAGAGGAAGGAUCCAGUGA